RNAcentral lists this ribosomal RNA (378 nucleotides) under Triticum aestivum (bread wheat). Its description in RNAcentral is "partial small subunit ribosomal RNA". Lineage: Eukaryota; Viridiplantae; Streptophyta; Magnoliopsida; Poales; Poaceae. The record is from RNAcentral.
AUGUUUUGGCAGAUUCGUUGGGGAGGUAUCCCUACCCUACCCGCGUCGUUUCCCCGGGGAAACGUUCCACGCCUCCAGGGGUUGGGGAGAGAAGCCACGGCUCGAGCGAGACCGCGAGCGCAUGCAGCGACUGAAAGGCGACGACGGCCAAGAUCCAGUCCUCCGCCUCCGACUUUCUCCGGCAGCGACCAGAGAGACGGACCGCCCCCUCCCUCCGGUGCUCCGCCCACCAGCAACCGUGACGGCCGUGGUCGUCACCCUCCUCCUUCCCUAGAUCUACCCUCCUCCUCGAAGUUCAUGUCCCCUCCGGUGACGGCAAUGGCGACGGUUCCACGGUCAACUUCCACCUACUUCGAUCAAGGUGCUCUGAACCUCUGA